CGGCGUGCUUAACACAUGCAAGUCGAACGGAAAGGCCCUGCUUUUGUGGGGUGCUCGAGUGGCGAACGGGUGAGUAACACGUGAGUAACCUGCCCUUGACUUUGGGAUAACUUCAGGAAACUGGGGCUAAUACCGGAUAGGAGCUCCUGCUGCAUGGUGGGGGUUGGAAAGUUUCGGCGGUUGGGGAUGGACUCGCGGCUUAUCAGCUUGUUGGUGGGGUAGUGGCUUACCAAGGCUUUGACGGGUAGCCGGCCUGAGAGGGUGACCGGCCACAUUGGGACUGAGAUACGGCCCAGACUCCUACGGGAGGCAGCAGUGGGGAAUAUUGCACAAUGGGCGGAAGCCUGAUGCAGCAACGCCGCGUGCGGGAUGACGGCCUUCGGGUUGUAAACCGCUUUCGCCUGUGACGAAGCGUGAGUGACGGUAAUGGGUAAAGAAGCACCGGCUAACUACGUGCCAGCAGCCGCGGUGAUACGUAGGGUGCGAGCGUUGUCCGGAUUUAUUGGGCGUAAAGGGCUCGUAGGUGGUUGAUCGCGUCGGAAGUGUAAUCUUGGGGCUUAACCCUGAGCGUGCUUUCGAUACGGGUUGACUUGAGGAAGGUAGGGGAGAAUGGAAUUCCUGGUGGAGCGGUGGAAUGCGCAGAUAUCAGGAGGAACACCAGUGGCGAAGGCGGUUCUCUGGGCCUUUCCUGACGCUGAGGAGCGAAAGCGUGGGGAGCGAACAGGCUUAGAUACCCUGGUAGUCCACGCUGUAAACGGUGGGUACUAGGUGUGGGGUCCAUUCCACGGGUUCCGUGCCGUAGCUAACGCUUUAAGUACCCCGCCUGGGGAGUACGGCCGCAAGGCUAAAACUCAAAGGAAUUGACGGGGCCCCGCACAAGCGGCGGAGCAUGCGGAUUAAUUCGAUGCAACGCGUAGAACCUUACCUGGGUUUGACAUGGAUCGGGAGUGCUCAGAGAUGGGUGUGCCUCUUUUGGGGUCGGUUCACAGGUGGUGCAUGGCUGUCGUCAGCUCGUGUCGUGAGAUGUUGGGUUAAGUCCCGCAACGAGCGCAACCCUUGUUCACUGUUGCCAGCACGUUAUGGUGGGGACUCAGUGGAGACCGCCGGGGUCAACUCGGAGGAAGGUGGGGAUGACGUCAAGUCAUCAUGCCCCUUAUGUCCAGGGCUUCACGCAUGCUACAAUGGCUGGUACAGAGAGUGGCGAGCCUGUGAGGGUGAGCGAAUCUCGGAAAGCCGGUCUCAGUUCGGAUUGGGGUCUGCAACUCGACCUCAUGAAGUCGGAGUCGCUAGUAAUCGCAGAUCAGCAACGCUGCGGUGAAUACGUUCCCGGGGCUUGUACACACCGCCCGUCAAGUCAUGAAAGUUGGUAACACCCGAAGCCGGUGGCCUAACCGUUGUGGGGGAGCCGUCGAAGGUGGGACUGGUGAUUAGG
Molecule: ribosomal RNA, 1432 nt
Filed under: uncultured organism
Description: 16S ribosomal RNA
Rfam family: Bacterial small subunit ribosomal RNA
Source: RNAcentral